UUGAACGCUGGCGGCAGGCCUAACACAUGCAAGUCGAACGGUAACAGGAAGCAGCUUGCUGCUCGCUGACGAGUGGCGGACGGGUGAGUAAUGUCUGGGAAACUGCCUGAUGGAGGGGGAUAACUACUGGAAACGGUAGCUAAUACCGCAUAACGUCGCAAGACCAAAGAGGGGGACCUUCGGGCCUCUUGCCAUCAGAUGUGCCCAGAUGGGAUUAGCUUGUUGGUGGGGUAACGGCUCACCAAGGCGACGAUCCCUAGCUGGUCUGAGAGGAUGACCAGCCACACUGGAACUGAGACACGGUCCAGACUCCUACGGGAGGCAGCAGUGGGGAAUAUUGCACAAUGGGCGCAAGCCUGAUGCAGCCAUGCCGCGUGCAUGAAGAAGGCCUUCGGGUUGUAAAGUACUUUCAGCGGGGAGGAAGGUGUUGUGGUUAAUAACCGCAGCAAUUGACGUUACCCGCAGAAGAAGCACCGGCUAACUCCGUGCCAGCAGCAGC
RNAcentral lists this ribosomal RNA (499 nucleotides) under uncultured bacterium. RNAcentral's name for it is "bacterial SSU rRNA". It matches the Rfam family "Bacterial small subunit ribosomal RNA", at positions 30 to 518 of the family's 1533-position model. The record is from RNAcentral.